Molecule: long non-coding RNA, 7502 nt
Organism: Leucoraja erinaceus (little skate)
Lineage: Eukaryota; Metazoa; Chordata; Chondrichthyes; Rajiformes; Rajidae
Exons: 3
Source: RefSeq, a predicted model, not a curated record
AACAGUCCUGAUCUAAUAAAAUGUUUAUUCACGCUUAAUCCAUCCGAAAACUGCCACUUGACAACCAAAAUUCAUUUGUGAACACAAAUUUUUCAAAAGGCGAGGCAAACAAUUUGGCAGCAGCCACCUGAUAACCAAAAUUCAUUUUGUGAACACAAUAUUUUUAAUAGGCGAGGCAAACAAUUUGGCAGCAGCCACCUGACAACCAAAAUUCAUUUUGUGAACACAAACUUUUUAAAAGGUGUGGCAAACAAUUUGGCAGCAGCCACUUGACAACCACAUCGAGGGGACUCACCGUGGAGUAGACGUGCGUUCAGUGUUAUUCGCAGCUCAGAGAGCCGUGACCCUCUCGCUUCCUGGGUCUGGCGGAGACUGAGUGAGGCACUACACUUCCGGUUUUUAUAGUCCCUCCACAAUCCCCCCUGCCGCCAGCGGGGGCAGCAGAGAGAAUGGGGAAUUUUUAAAAAACAUUAAUAUCUCUCUGAUUUUUCAUAGAUGGGAAAAAUCCUCUGGUCCAGGAAGGCGGAGGGGGGCUCUCAGCGAGGUGGCCAAAAAUGUCGGCUGUAGGUGACGGCGUUCUCUCGGAAAUCGCAGCACAGUGGGCCAAAAGCGGUCAAGAUCAGACUUUUAGUAAUAUAGAUAUCACACUGCAAUUACCUGGUGAGCCAAAGAGGCCAUGGAAUGGUCUACCUGCCAUUCACAGUGACAUUUCUGCUUGUGUUGUUCACAUAACAGAUCUUAAAUCUUUUCAACAGUUUUUUUGUUAGAUCGCUGCAGUUUAUUGCGUGGGGCAGCAAUAAUGUGUGUGACGAUGUAUACACAGAACAUUCCUUCCGGUGCCCAGCCAACAUUCUUGUGCAAUGCCAAUAUGAAUUCCAAGUCUUUUUAAACAACUGCUUUCAAGACCCUAUAAAAUUCGAAGUAAUUGUCUCAACAUUGUUAACUUUUGCGAGGAUACUCACUCAUGUACGCAUGCACGCUGUAAAUGAACAGGCACAUGGAACGGAACUCAAUUAAUGCAUGAGAUGAAUAGUUAAAAACACACAUUUCUGGAAUCUAUUAGAUGGUUACAUUCAAAGUUUCGGACUAGAGUCCCUUACAAAUCCGACAUAAACCAAGCAAUUCCUGUGAGCUGCACUAAAUGGUUUUUAAAGAAAAAGUGGGUCUUUUAAGUGGUAUUUCUAUUGAUCUAUGAUGGCUCAAAUUCUUCAGAGGUACAAGUCUAGGGUUUCCUUGGAGAGUUGUAGCGUAUGUUGAGAACUUAUUUAAACAACUUCCUAUUGAGAUUUUUAUGUUAGUACUGAAAUGCAAGUUUAUGUGGUGGUUUGAGGCUGCUUUUACAAAUAGGUGCAUGGGGUAUAAAACAGCCUUCAUUCAUUCAUUGAAUUACUUCAACUGAGUUAUCACAGCACAAAAAAUGAUGGAUGGGUGUCUCUUCUCUUGGCUUGGUAGAUUAAGGAUGGCACUUCAUUGAACCACCUAGAGAUCUAAAGCCAGCAUGGAUGGGAUGUCCUAAUGGCUCCCUGGCUGCCAUGUGCUUGGUGGGGAUAAGGGUGGUCACCUCCUGAUAAGUGAUUGUAUUUCCACAAUCUACAUUGGAUAGUGAGGAGAUGGGAAGAAAUUUUCUCUUCACUUAUCAAGUUUAUGGUCAUCAUUUUCCUCAGAGAGGAAAUUAUUGGGUAAUUGCUCCUGUCAAUAAGUGAUUGAUUAAUCACAUGCAUAAUAUACGCGACUGUACUCCACUUACUGGAUCUUGUUGGAGAAACCAUUCUUUUUUGGGUGCAGUUUCUGCUUCCUCUGCUUUAAAACUAAUAGAUAGUUUUAUUUUUUUAAUAGUUCUAUUUAAAACUAAUAAGUGCUCCCCAACUAACAUUUCAGUCACCUGCCCUGCCUUAUUUCCCACAAGAGGAGAUCAUCUCUAGUAGAGCCAUCUGCAUAUUUGCUGAGAAAAUUGUCCUUAACAUUUAACAAAUUCCAGCCCAUACAAGCCAUUAGCACUAUGGCAGUCUCAGUCAAUAUUUGGAUCUCCCUCUAUUACUAACCAAUUAUUCUUGCCAAAAUAAUACAUGUGAUCACCCUACAUAUUUGCUCCUCUAAUUCUUUUUGACUAUUGGGGGCCUAUUAUACGAUUCCAAAAUAAUCACCCCUCAUUUCUCAUUUAGCCUUGUUGAACGAUCCCCAGAAAUAUACUCUCCAAGUACUGCUGUGUUAUUCUCCCUAUUUACAAACACAAAUUCAUACGCAUUUGUACACUAGAACAUUGAGCUGCCUGGCCUGGUCCUCUAUCAGCCAGGUUUCUGUAAUAGCUAUAACAUCCUAGUCCCGUGUUCUUGUACUUACCUCAGCGAUGGAGUAUUUUCAAAUGUUUUGGAAGGUUUGGAAGGAAUCAACUAAUCCUCUGGGAACUAUGCUAUGUAAAUUGCUCAAAAAAUGUAUUUUUUGAAAUUGAUUCAAGACCUCCUCAUUUGGACAAAUCAUACUUUACAAUCAGAUAAAUGUCAAAAAGAGAAUCAGAUUGCUUUUGGAAGCUUUGGCCUGUGUCUCUGUCCACAAGUCAAUGACAGCACUUGUAAAAACAAUUCCUCGAUGUAUAUGUUCCUCAAAGUUACCUCACAAAGCACUGGAAAGUCUGCGGCUUACAUUAUGAAAUCAUAUCCUGGAUAUGAUUCGAGGAGUGAGUUCUUCAAGAAACACCAUUGCCUAGGUGAAUCGCCAUCAGAGGGCGGGGGAAUUCCACUGAACAGCAACUGGGCUACACAUCACACAUUAGCAGAUGUUGAAAUAAAGAGCUGCAGAUGCUGGUUAAUACACAAAAGGACACAAAGCGCUGGAGUAACAGACGGGCAGCUCUGGAGAACGUGUAUAUGUGACGUUUUGGGUUUAGGCCCUUUUUCAGACAUUGUAGGGGAGGGAGGGGGGAGAAGAAUGCUGGAAAAGGGUAGAGGCAGGACAAAGCAUGGCAGUUAAAAUGUCAACAUUGGCAAGGGGGGGUUUGAUAGGUAGCUGGUUGGAACACAGUCUGAAGAUGGGUCUUGACCCGAAACAUCACCCAUUCCUUCUCUCCAGAGAUACUGUGUGGCCCACUGAGUUACUCCAGCACUUUGUACUUAUCGUUGGUUGGAGCACAGGCCAGACAUAAGAAUGGAAGGUAUGAGGCAGGUGUGAAGAUAUGCGGAUUGUAAAGCUUCCCUGAUGAAGGGUCUCGACCUGAAACGCCACUUAUCCAUGAUCUCCAGAGAUUGCGCCUGACCUGUUGAGUUACUCCAGCACUUUGUGCCCUGACGAGUUAGUAAGUGAAACUCAGCUAACAGCUCCAGCAUGAACACAAGAUGAACAGCCACUCUUCUGUGUCCUGUACUGUUAUUAUUCCAUAAGGCCGGAAAAUAUUUGUCCCUCACUCAACAUUAUUAAAAUAGAUUAUUUGGUCGUUCUCACAUUGUUAUUUGCUGGAGCUUGCUGUGCACAACCUGUAUUUCCUCCAUUACAACUUGGAAAGUAACUUAACUGGAACUUUAGGAUGUUGUAAGGAGACCUGGCUCCCACCAAGAGUAACACAGCAGGAGCUGUGAUCUGCUGCCUCGAACCACGUAUCAGACUUUAGUCUACAAUGUUUGGUUGAAACACAGUGGAAAAACUUGCUUGGAAAAGUUUUGUGUUUUGGUUUAAACAGUGCUUCCAGCAUUAAGUUCCUCACUUUCGUGAGAAAUAAAGACGGCAGCAAAAGGGAUUUUCAGCAAAUAGUUCUGGAGCGACAUCAUCAGUGUGCUUUUCCUUUGCCCUCGGCAAGUGGUGUCAUCCAGUCAUCGUGGAACGAUGUUUUCGUACAUUCUGCUCAGUUUUUCGUUGACUGUUUAUGCAGCUGCCUCUGCUUAGUUUGUGGUCAAUGCCAGCCUAUUGGACACAGACUUGUUUUGCUGUUCUGUGGGAGCAGAACACUUCAGCAAAUGUGACCGGAAAUUCUGCACGCAAAAGAAACACAUUGCCCGACAGACACAUGAUAGCCAAAGAGCGUGCGGGGUCGGGAUAAAUAUGGUACGCGUUUGAUUAGAAGAGCGUUUGUUCUUCGCCUCGGGCCGAGCUGGGAAAGGCGGCGUCCUGAGGUAAACCCCGCCACAGGGUGCGGGCUCGAGCGCUUGGCGGGCUGCACGUGCGGCGCCUGGCGAGCGCCCGCGCCCGCGCCAUGUGGCGGGGUUUACGCCAACUACGCCAACAAAAACGCAAAUUUCGGGAUAAAUUGUGCAGUGAACUGGUAACAUGCCGAUUAAUAUACGGCGAUGCCCCGCUUGGGUUCUGGAGUCCAAAAGACACUCGCACACACACAGCAGAACCAUUCAGAGAGUGCCAAGAGAGUCUUUACUGGAGUUGGAACUCAAUUGGACUGGUGCUUCUUGGAGCUUUCAACAACAACGGCUACAUCUGACUUAGAUCAGGGAAGCGAAGAGGUCCACACACCCCAGUUUGCAUUGGAUGUGUCGAAGUAUAGAUGGUUGAAAACCUCAAGUUCCGAGGAGUCAACAUCACCAACAACUUCUCAUGGACCACCCAUAUUGAAGCAAUGGCCAAGAAAGCACGCCAACGCCUCUACUUCCUUAGAAGGCUUAAGCAAGUUUGGCAUGUCCCCUACAACUCUCACCAACUUCUACAGAUGCACCAUAGAAAGCAUUUUAUCGGGAUGCAUCACAGCACGGUUUGGGAACAACUCCAUCCAAGACCACAAGAAAAUGCAACAAAUUGUGGACACAGCCCAGAGCAUCACACAAACCAUCAGGCAAAAGGUAUAGAAGUGUGAAAACACACAUUUCCAGAUUCAGUGACAGUUUCUUCCCAGCUGUUAACAGGCAACUGAACCAUCCUACCACAACCAGAGAGCAGUGCUGAACUACUAUCUACCUCUUUGGUGACCCUUGGACUAUCCUUGAUUGUACUUUGCUGGCUUUAUCUUGCACUAAACGUUAUUCCCUUAUCAUGUAUCUAUACACUGUAAUAACUCGAUUGUAAUCAUGUAUUGUCUUUCUGCUGACUGGGUAGCACGUAACAAAAGCUUUUUACUGUACCUCGGUGCAUGUGACAAUAAACUAAACUGCCUGACCCUCUGAGUUACUCCAGCACUUUCUGUUCUACUUUUGCCAUGAACCCUGGGUGCCCUCUUGUGGAGCAGGAGAUCAAGGAGGCAGGAAAGGAGAUGAAAAGUAAAAGAUCAGGCACAAUCAUAUUGAAUGGCUGAAUGGGACACCCCAACUUCUAUUGCUUAAGUUCCUAUGGAAAUACUCAGCCGGUCAGACAGCAUCUGCAGAGAGAGAGACACAGGCUUCAAGAUUCAAUUACCUUUCAUAACCUGCGAACCAUUCCAACGUUUCAUUGGUAUUUCUAUUUGAACUGCUGUUCUCUGGAAUUCUUUCUCGGAUUUAUUUUUUCUCUCAUCUCGCCCUUAUUCCUUGGUAUCUGAAGUCUUAACAACUAUUUCCUGAGUUCAAUCUUUCAUAAUCCUGAUCUCUCCAAUUACAUUCCUCAAAAUCUUUUUUAUUCUAAAGAAAGCAUUUCAUAAUUUGAUAUAUUUUUUGAAAGAAACUUUAUCCUUUGCAUCAGAAGCACUUGACCAGGGUGGACAUUAAAAUAUUUUCUCUCCCCUUUAGUAGCUGUUAAAUCAAUGUGCCGUGGAGCAGUUUAAUAUACAAAUCUCAUUUGGUUGGGCCAGAUUGCCAAAAGCAACAUGGUAUGCAUGAACAAGGAGGCUUUUUUAUUGGCCACUUAAAACAAAACUGGAUCUCAGAAUCUUUUAGCUUCAACAGAACAGUUUUACAAGUCAUCGCCUGUACACCUUCAACAUUAGGAACGUUUAAACAAAACAGUAGGGUUACGUGGCCUGGUCCACUCAGUCGCUGGAGGUGGACAAGUCUUGCAAUGUUUAGAGUGUCAUUUCUCGUCACAAUUGCAAACAGCAUGAAAUCAUUUGCAGUCACUUCCGGAAACCUUAUCUGAGGCUCUCUUGCAAUCACCGCAGAGUUUCAAUUUUAUGCGCCCAUUCCACUUAGAUUUACAAAGCACUAACACAGCAGAAACAGGCCAGUCAGUCCGUUCCCCUUACUAGUAUUCCCAGGGAGUGUGGCAAUAUUUACAGGGGGUCCCUGGGGAGUGUGUCAGUAUUUAUAGGGCCAGAGGGCACAGCCUCAGAAUAAACGAACAUACAGUACCUUUAGAAAGGAGAUGAGGAGGAAUUUCUUUAGCCGGAGGGUGGUGAAUCUGUGGAAGUCAUUGGCACAGAAGAGUGGCUGCAAGGCUUCAUCGAAACAUUGAAUGUUUCUGCCUGACCUGCUGAGUCUUUCCAGUAUUUCCUGUUUUUGUUUCAGAUUUCCAGUAUCUGCAGUUUUUAGAUAUUCACUCAUAGUCAUAUUGAACAGCAGGGCAGGUUUGAGAGGCCGUGAGGUUUGCUCCUGACAUGUUUUCUCAUGCUCUGAAAACUAACAGCAGGGCAACGUAGUAAAGAGGACUUUGCAUUUCUAUUGCCCUAAGCCCUUUCUAGCCAACUAGGUACCUCCGAGACAUAGUCAUUGCUGCAAGGUAGAAGAAAUACAAGUCACAUGUACAUAACUUUCCCACAGACAGCAAUGUGAUAACUAGAUGAUGUACUCUUGACUUUUGAAUGAUGGCUAGGACUGUGGGUAGAGGUCUAUGAGAUUGCUCACAUCCUUCCGGGAGAGCAGAAGGUUUAACGUCUGAUGGCACGGAUUUCCUUCAGUAUUGGAGUCAGCCCCCACUGAAGUAGACCAGUUAUGGAGGCCUUGAACUCACAACCCUCUGACUCAGAGGCAGGACAGAACGCUGUGGAGGCCAAGUCAAUGGAUAUUUUUAAGGCAGAGAUGGAUAGAUUAUUGAUCAGUACGGGUGUCAGGGAUUAUGGGGAGAAGGCAGGAGAAUGGGGUUAAGAUGGAUUAGCCAUGAUUGAAUGGCCGAGUAGACUUGAAGAGCCAAAUGGCCUAAUUCUGCUCCUAUCACUUAUGACAGCCACCUAUCAUGGCACGACAGAUUUAUAGACCCUUUGGUUCGGCCUAAGCCAUUGGUAUCAGUGGGAUGGGAAGUCGGGUCGGUGUUAAGCAUGGAUGAAUGGGUCUUCAUGUUGGCAAGCUAGAGGGGCUGGGUGUAGACACGGUAUCGGACAGAAGGGGUACAUCUGGGGCCUUGAGAAGUGGUGGGGAGCAAGAGCCAGGGCAGGCUGUCUUGUGAAAGCUGAUCUCUGGCUGCAGAAGCCUCACCUCCAGCUCUCAGUGUUCAGCGAUAACCUGUCGUCUCCUUGGCAACACUUUGGAAGGUCAGCCCGCCAUUGUCAACUUUGGCUCUGAAACACGUUUAUUUAAAAAAAAACAAAAAAAAAAACAUCCAAGAUCUUAUUUAAAAACAAGUGAAAUAAAUGUUUAAUCCAAGCCAUCACUUACACUGUCACUGUUGGAGAGACAAGGUAACAAUGCUCAACUUAAAGAGAAAACCAUUAACAUCCUUAAUCUUCA